GGGAUUGCGGCUCAGAGGUAGAAUGCACGCCUAGCAUGUGUGAGGCACUGGGUUCGAUCCUCAGCAUCACA
This 71-nucleotide transfer RNA is filed under the name Marmota monax (woodchuck). RNAcentral's name for it is "tRNA.Ala". Lineage: Eukaryota; Metazoa; Chordata; Mammalia; Rodentia; Sciuridae. The record is from RNAcentral.